RNAcentral lists this ribosomal RNA (5090 nucleotides) under Lyophyllum shimeji. Its description in RNAcentral is "large subunit ribosomal RNA". The stretch from base 41 to 3395 matches the Rfam family "Bacterial large subunit ribosomal RNA". The record is from RNAcentral. Lineage: Eukaryota; Fungi; Basidiomycota; Agaricomycetes; Agaricales; Lyophyllaceae.
AAGUAUCGAUGACAAUAUUGUAAUAAACAUCAAAAAUAUAAAAAAGUAAUUCAAAGGGGUUAUUAAGGAAAACUAAGGCAAAUUUAUAUAAAAGGAGGUAUAUUACCAAAAGCUUACAAGCUGGAAUUAGGUAAGCGAUCCUAAGGUAAACCUUGUUAAUUAAUUACUUCCUGAAGUAAAACAUUUUAUUAGGGAAAGGAAAGGAAAUCAACCGAGACUCCGAAAGUAAUGGUGAGUGAAAUCGGAUUAGCCUAAUUAAUUUAAUAAAUUGAAGAACUUAAGUAUCUUUAUUAAAAAUUGAUUCUUUAUUAUUUAACUAAUAAAGGAAUAUUUUAUUAGUGAAAACUAGUGAGUAUCGUUCAAAUGAACUCAUUUAAUUUAAAGAUAUAUUAGUUAGUAAUACAUUACUUAAACUUUUUAACGUUUUAAUUAAUAUUUUAAUAUUUUAAAGUUUAAGGAAAGAGGGGGAAAGUUAAAAGACCACUCGAGGGUUAUACUAUGUAUUACUCUAAAGAAGGUGAACUACUAUAAGACCUGUAAAUUUAUUAAUUAAUAUUAGAAUAAGUAAUUCUAAAUAAAGUACGAUGAGAGAAAACUUGUCGGAAUAUAGGGGUACCAUCCUCUAAGGCUAAGUAUUAUAAAUUUAGCGAUAGUGAAAAAGUACUGUAAAGGAAAAGUUUGAAAAGCGAGUGGUAUACAAAAAAGUGAAUUUUUAAAAUAUUUAGUAUUGAAAAAAUAUUAAAUUUUUAUUAAUGAAUCGGUGAAAUAGAUCAUGAAUUAGUAACUCUAUAAGCAGUCGAAAUUCUACUUGAAAUCAUAAAAGAUUUAUGAAUGACGGCGUACCUUUUGCAUAAUGGGUCAGCAAGUUAAUAGGAGUAGCAAGGUUUAAAGCCCUAGCGAAAGCGACUGGACUAUAAAUUUUUAUUACAAGUAAUUACUAGUAAGAACUACGAAAAUAUUAUAAGUUAUUAGGGAUAUAUAUAGUGAUGGGUCAGUUACUUCUAUUAGACCCGAAGCCAGGUGAUCUUACCAAGACCAGAUUAUAAUGGAUCGAACGGGUGAAUGUUGCAUAAUUCUCCGAUGAGUUUUGGUAAGCGGUGAAAUGCCAAUCUGACCUGGUGCUAGCUGGUUUUCUACCGAAACAUAUUUAAGUAUGACGUCUACACAAAAUUUAUGGAGGUACAGCAAGGCAAUUCCCAACAAGUUUAAGGGUUGUGUUUAAAUACAUAACUACCUUUUAGGCGUUUAGGUUGCGGGGACCUCGAAAAUCUUACCUUUGGAAGCGAAUCUCGGAAUUACAUAAAUUGAUGGUAGAUAUUCAGACUACUCAUGCUAAGUUGGGUAGUCAAGACGGAAACAGCCGAGAACACUGAUCAAGGUCCCAAAUGAUUGUUAAGUGAAAUUAAGGACGUAGCAAUAUCGUAUACAGCUGUGAAGUGAGCCUGGUAGUCGCUACUUUUAAUGAUCGUUUGUAACAACGCAUCAGCAGUCUAGAUAGUAGCGCCGAAAAUUUAACGGGUCUUAAACAAUCAACCGAUAUCGUGUUGGUUUGGAGUAUUAAGAUGGAUUAAUGUUUUUAAUUUAAUUUACUAUUCUCUACCGUAUUUACGGAGCUCCUUCGGCCCCUUCUCCCUACGGCUCCGCAGGGGGGGGACCGAAGGCGUUGGAGCGUAGCGCUUAAAUUUAUUUAUAUUAUGAAGCUUUCUAUUUUUUAUCUAAACCUAGGUAGUAGAACAUUCAGUCAAACUAAUAAUAAGAUAGUGUUUCAUUAUUUUUUAAGUAACUGAAGAGAGAAUGCUGACAUGAGUAACGUAAAAAGAAGUUAUAAUACUUCUCGCCGAAUACGAAAGGGUUGCAAAUAGGAAAGGUUAAUCCGUUUUGUUUGAAUGCGGCCUCUAAGGACCAGCACCAAUGUGCUGGCUGAUGAGUAUAUAAUAGAAAGUCCAGUAUAUAUUGGACCAGGAAAUUAAUAUUAUAAGUAAUAAUUUUUACUCUAUAAAAUAAAAUUUCUUUUUAUAAAAAAUUUUAGGUUAGAAAUUAAAUUUUAUAACUUUUUUUGUAUAUUUUUGUAAAUUGCUAUUAAGGCGUAUAUAAAUUUUAAUUUUAAUGAGUGGACAAUAAUUUGUUAAAGGUUAUUUUAAAUGUUAAAAUUUUACUUAACAUAAAUUGGAGAUAAGAUUAGUUAUAAUAAUUACUUAUUUAUUUUAAAUAGUUGCUCUCCCUCUAUAACAGCUAAGUAUUAAAUUUUAAUUAUUUACUAAUUAGUAAAUAUAAAUAAUAAAAUUACUUACUAAAGAUUCAGAAAAUUCUUAUCCGAUGUCUAAGAGAACUAAAGAAAAUACUUUAGUUUUUUUAUACCAGUGAAUUAUUUAAGUAAAAUUUAGCACAUUUAUUUGAAAUUAUUAAUAUUAUCAAAAAUAUUUUUGUUAAGAUUAUGAUUAGAAAUAUUUUUUAGAAGACUUAAUUUAUUUAAAAAUUUUUAAAUAGGGUUUAAAAAAAGGUUAAUUAUAAUAAAUAGUAUUAUUAAUAAUCAAAAAUAGUAAUAUAAAUAUUUAAUAAAUAUACAAAAUAAACUACCGUACCCUAAACCGACACAGGUUCGUAGGUAGAGAAUACUAAGGCGUAGAGCUAAAAGUUGUUAAGGAACUCGGCAAAUUCACCUCAUAAGUUUGACGAAAAGAGGGACCGCACAUUUUAUAAUAUGAUCUAAUUAUUCUCUUAGUUAUUAAUUUAAUAUUAUCUAUAUAUUAAUUUAAUAUUAUCUUAUCUAAAAAAUAAGGUAAAUUUAAGGGAGGAUAAAUAAUUAAUUUAUUAUAAAUAAGGCGGUGGCACAGAAUAGGAGGCCCCGACUGUUUACUAAAAACACAACACAGUGCAAUCAUUAAUAUGAUAGUAUACUGUGUGAAAUUUGCCCGAUGCCAUUAAUAUAAGAGAGGUCAUGGGGAACUGUGACUAAUCGAAAAUCUGGUUAAUAGCGGUCUUAACUAUGAGGAUCCUAAGGUAGCAAAAUAAGUUGGCCAUUAAAUGUGGUCCGGUAUCAAUAAUGUAACGAUGGCCUCACUGUCUCUACAACUUGCUCAGUGAAAUUGAAUUACGCGUGCAGAUGCGCGUUGCCUCCAGGGGGACGGGAAGACCCUAUGCAGCUUUACUGUAGUUAGUUAUCACAUGGAUCUAGAACAAUUUUAAUUAAUAGCAAAUAGGGAAGUCGAUAGACAAAUACUGGAAACCUUAAAAUUAAAAUUGGGUUUAUGUUUACCUUAAAAUUAAAAAGAAAAGGGAGAGUUGACUAAUUGGCAGUUUGACUGGGGCGGUCGUCUUUAAUAGAGUAGCAAAGUACAUCCAAAUAUUUUUUCUUACAAACAAAAAUAAGGUAUCCCUAUUUUUAUACUUUUUAUUUUAUUUUAUCUUAGUUAAUAUCACUAUUAAUCUAUUAUUUUAUUAAAAAAAAAAGAUAGAAGGCAAAGAUACUAAAUUUAAAUAUUAAAUUUUCUCUUUAAUAUUUAAAACAAAAAACUUAUUCUCUUUCUUAGAAUAUUAAAGUUUUUAAGUCAGAGGAUAGUAACUAUUAAUUAAGUAUUUAUUCUUAGGGCUAACGCUAUUCGAUAUCGUGUACGCGGGAACUUAAAAAAAGAUAUUAAAUUAAUUAACAAAAAAAAUAAAAACUUUCUCUUUAGCUACUUACGUUACCUUUUCUUAAAAUCUUUUUAGGAUUGGUUACUUUAAUAUCUACUCUGCCUCUCGCGUACGCGGGACCUUAUAGGGAAAGGAAGGGAAAGAUAUUUAAGCAAAUUAUUUAAAUUAACGUAAUGUUAGUGAUCCCUUUCUGCUGGCAGAAAGGGUCAAGAGUUUGGCAAAAAACAAUAACACACUAAAAUUUUUAUAAAGGUAUAGCUAGAAAUUGAAUGGAGAUCAAUCAACCAGUGAAGGGUUGCGCAGAGCUCAAUGGCGGUAAGCAUGCUUAACUGAAAGACCUAAAAGUCGCACAGAUACGUAAGUAGGGCAUAGUGACCCCUCGCUAUAAAAUGGGAUAGACGGGGAUCAAUUAAUAAAAGUUACGCUAGGGAUAAUGUUUGUUGUCCUCUACUGUUGUAAAGUAGUAGUAAUAAAGAACUUACCUGUGAAGGUAAGAAGUAAUAAUUAAAAAAAAUUACAAUAACAAAAUUGAACAGGCUGAUAGCCGACGAGAGUACACAUUGUCUCGGCUGUUUGGCACCUUUUUGAAUUAUUUAUCUACUAUUUAAAUUAUAAACGGUCACUUAAGAGUAAUAAGUAAACAAAUGAAGAGCAAGUAAAUACAAUAAAUAAUACAUCGGGGAAUUUUAAUAGUAAUAUUAUUUUAAACCUUAAUUUAAAAAUUAAGAUUAUUAGUUAUUAAACUAAUAUUAUGCGAUGUCGACUCAUCCUAUCCUCCGGGGGAAGAAGCUUGGAAGGGUUCGGCUGUUCGCCGAUUAAAAGGGUACGUGAGUUGGGUUAAAACUCUAAAUUUGAAUAAAAUACUUUAUUUAAAUUUUAAAAAGCCCCUUAUCUAUUUUCUCGCAUAAUUACGCUAUUUUUAGGCAAGACUAUGAAGAGAAAAAUAGAAGAAAAGAACUUACUUGAGAAAGUAAGAUAUUUAGGAUAAAAUACUAAAUGAUAACAUAAUUGUUAAUACGACGUGAGUCAGUAUGGUCCCUAUCUUCUGGAGGAAUAAUUAGUAAAAAGGGGCAGACCUUCUAGUACGAAAGGAUCAAUAGGCUGUGUUUCUCUAGUGUACCAAUUGUUUGUAGUAUUUUGUUAUGAUUACUCUAUUUCCUAAUAAGAGUAGAAAUCAUUGAGUAAAUCCUUUUGAACUUUAGGCUAAAAAAGUUCUUUAAUUUAAAUACCCUUAAAUAAGGUUAUGAUAAAAGGUAGCAAUUUAAGAAAGCAUAGUUGGGUAGCCACAAACAUAAUAGAUAAGUGCUGAAUGUCUAUAAAGCAAGAAUCUAACCCCUAGAUACUUUCAAAAUGAUUAUUUUUUUUUAUCUUAAAUACAAGCUUAUUUUUUAAGCUUAAUUUAGAAUUAAUAUCAUUAAUUAAGAAAUAGAACAUUUCUAGAUAGGCUGCAAAUACAA